RNAcentral lists this ribosomal RNA (1896 nucleotides) under Triticum aestivum (bread wheat). RNAcentral describes it as "partial small subunit ribosomal RNA". The record is from RNAcentral. Lineage: Eukaryota; Viridiplantae; Streptophyta; Magnoliopsida; Poales; Poaceae.
AUGGCGGAUGGCGGCGGCGGCGGCGGAGAGUAUAGCAAUCUCAACAACCCUAUCACCUCCCCCACAAGAACUGCGGCGGCGGAUGGCGGCGGGGAAGACAUCGAGGAGGGGAGGCCUUGGCUGGUGAGCCCUCCGCCGUUCAAAAUCCGCCGCAAGCUGAGUGAUCCAGGUGCGUUUGCGGCGGCGGCGAAUGGCGGCGGGGAAGGCGUCGUGGAGGCGAGGCCUCCGCCGGUCAAAAUCAGAACCGCGGUGGCCGAUGGCGGCGGGGAAGACGUCAUGGAGGCGAGGCCUCCGCUGGUCAAAAUCCACAAGCUGGGUGCUCCAGGUACGAGUUCAAUUCGGCCUGAGGAUCAGAUUGAGGUCAUGCCUGCCAGCGACUACGAGAUGAAUUCGAUGCGUCCGGAGCACUUGGGGAAUGACGACAUGGACUUCAUUAAUCUGAUGCAUCCGGUGAUCCCAUGCGGUGAGGUUCAGAAGGACGAGAUGGGCUUAGGCAAACACUCCAUCAUCUCUGAGCAGCAGAUUGAGAACAAGACGACACUGGGGGAGGGGGAGGUCGAGAUGGACCUAGGCAAAUCAAACUCCAUCAUCUCUGAGCAGGAGAUCAAGGAGCUCUGCAAGCAGAUGAACAGUAUGGUCGUUUUUAUGAAUUUCAGGAUCGUACCAUCAGCCCCACUGUGCAGCAGCAGCAGCAGCAGCAAGGAGAUGAAAGAUGAGGACAAGGCGCAGCCCGUGAUUGACGGCAUCUUAAAAGAGUUAGCUGAUCUGCAGGGCAGCAUGUCCAAGCUCAAAUCGCAACUGAAACCUUUCUGGCACACCUACCCGUAUGAGGAGGAUUAUGUGGCGCCGGAGGAGGAGAAGGAUCCCAAGGAGAAGGCAAGGAAGCAGAUGGAGGAUGAUCAGGAGGUCUAUGAUUCCUACCUUCAAGGCCUUGGAUCUAAAGUUGGACACUUUGGAUACGCAACCCUAGUGAGCCCCAUGCACUUUACACACUACACGCCCAGACAGAUCCCAUCCGAUUAUACUACUCGUGGGAUCACCUUGCAGAUCUUCUCCUUCAAGAUUGCCAAGAUCAGUUUGGACCUGGAAUGGCCACUCCUGCAAUGGCCACUCAAAGUGUAUGGCGUCAUCGCCGCACGAGACAGUGUGGACCGCAAGCGCAACGUUCUCUUCCACCGGCUAAGGGACAACUUCCAAGAGAUCACCGAAAAAGACUCCUUUUUGUGCUUGACUGGCCCAUCUCGUGCAAUCUCAGCCGAAUCCCCUCUUGAGUUUGAAGUUGAACUAAAACUCAAGGGCGGCGAAGCAAAGUCUGAAGACAGCGUGUUGAUCAAUAGAAAAGGCCAUUACAAUGGUUAUGAUACCCAUAAUGGUUUCUAUACUGUCACUUUUGACAACUGUCUUUGCACAACCGAGUUAAGCCUGCAGAAACUGUAUAGUGGAGCAGUCCAAGCCACUUUCUUGCGUGUCGGCAUUGUUAAAGGCAGUCAAAGCCCUUUCAGUUAUGGAGGCAGAGUUGCUUGCUCCUCACCACCUCAGAAAGAUGGUAGUGAAGGCCCUGCCACUCCCACCCAAGUUGUAUUGCUUGAUUCUCGUUAUUGUGCUGGCGGGAAGAUGCCAAUAGGCGAAGAAGAUGGUUACCUUGAUCUGUCAAGGCAUGUUGUUUCUGUUGAAUUACGAACAGUGAGUGAAGAUUCUGAAGAAUUGGAAGAAACCCUGAAAGUUGUCAUAGAAGCCUACUCUCCUGUUGGUCCUGUGCAAGCUUCUGUCAUGGUCAGGCCUCAGUACUGCGGCAUAAGUAAACAUAAAUGUGACCUCGACGGCUCUAAGGUGAAGAUAACCAUUGCUUGGUCACCUAUUAUUAGCAGUGCUUUCACCAAAAAGGCUAUUCUGUGA